UACGUAGGGGGCGAGCGUUGUCCGGAAUGAUUGGGCGUAAAGGGCGCGUAGGCGGCUUUACAAGUCUGGAGUGAAAGUCCUGUUUUCAAGGUAGGAAUUGCUUUGGAAACUGUAGAGCUUGAGUGCAGGAGAGGUUAUCGGAAUUCCCGGUGUAGCGGUGAAAUGCGUAGAGAUCGGGAGGAACACCAGUGGCGAAGGCGGGUAACUGGACUGCAACUGACGCUGAGGCGCGAAAGUGUGGGGAGCAAACAGGAUUAGAUACCCUGGUAGUCCCUGA
RNAcentral lists this ribosomal RNA (277 nucleotides) under uncultured prokaryote. RNAcentral's name for it is "partial 16S ribosomal RNA". It matches the Rfam family "Bacterial small subunit ribosomal RNA", at positions 524 to 800 of the family's 1533-position model. The record is from RNAcentral.